Long non-coding RNA from Hordeum vulgare subsp. vulgare (domesticated barley), 7300 nucleotides. RefSeq lists it as uncharacterized. The transcript is spliced from 3 exons. NCBI's taxonomy places the organism in Eukaryota, Viridiplantae, Streptophyta, Magnoliopsida, Poales, Poaceae. The record is from RefSeq and is a predicted model, not a curated record.
UAUCUAUAUUUAAUGAAGUAGUUUGUUAUCAGAUGAGCUAUCAAGCAGUAGAUUUGUUUUUUCCAAAGUGGAAUAUUUUGGUGGAGUUUCUUGAGAACACAAUAUCUACUCUUAAAUUGGAUUCAAUAUCAGGAUCUCAUCCUAUGGACGUAAUCACAUUGACUGUUAAUGUGGUAUGGCAAGAUCAUUGGGGUGCACUUGUUACUCAUUGCAUAUGCCAUUUAUUUGUAUACUUUUGCAUAAAUUCUAUGUGCAUAUCACUUAUGGUAAAACUCUAUUUUUGUUGAAAUACGAGUAUCUCGUAAAUUUUACUUUUGACAUGCCUAUAUGAUGAUAAUUCAUACACGGUAUGUAAAUUUUAAAUCCUAUUACAACUUUGGUGACUCAUGGAGGACUUCUGAUAGGUCAACUUAAUACAUCACCACCAUGAACAAAACCUUUCAGUCCAAAACAAGUUGGGUUAUGCUAGAGUAGAAAUCCAUAAGGUAUCUAAAACCAAGUCAUGGUUUCGGAACGUGGCUGGCUAACUUCCAUUCAUCUCUGUCCAUGGCUAGUCCUUUGGUGAUAUUCUAGUCCUUCAAUUCCCUCUUUUUGGAAUCCUCCCAUGUAAAGUUUGGCCUACCCCAACCUAUCUUGACAUUAUCAACACACCUUAACCUCUCUCUAUGUACCGCCGCUUCUAGAGGCAUGUGUUGUAUAUGCUCAAACCAUCUUAGAUGAUGUUGGAGAAGAUUCUAUUCAAUCGGUGUUAUGCCAAUUAUGUCACAUAUAUCAUCAUUCCGGGACCGAUGCUUCCUUGUAUGGCCACAUAUUAAUCUCAACAUGUGCAUGAGUACCACUCCUUACUGUUGGACAUGUCACCUUUUAGUUGCCCAACAUCAACACCAUACAACAUCACAUGUCGAAUUUUCAUCCUAUAUAGAACCUGCAUUUUCACUUUUCUGGCACUCUGUUCUCGCAGAGGACACUAGAAGCUUGGUGCCACUUUGUCCAUCCAGUUUUGAUAAGAUGCCUCACAUCUUUGUCGAUAUCACCAUCCUUCUACAACAUUGACCACAAAUAUAAAAAGGUGUCGUCCUCAGGUAUUGAUUGCCCGUCAAGGAAAUCUCCUCCUCAUCAUCAUGGCUAGUACUAUUGAAACCACAUAUAAUGUACUUAGUUUUAGUUCUACUAAGCCUAAAGAAGUCUGAUUCCAAAGUAUGUCUACCGAACUCUAACUUUCCAUUAACCCUCAUCCAACUAUAGCAUUGACUAGCACUACAUUGUACACAAAGAACACACAUCAUGGAAUAUCUCCUUCUAUAUCUCUUGUUACUUCAUCAAUCACCAAAUAAAAAAGAUAAGGACUCAAAACUCGCACUUGGUGUCAGCCUAUUUUAAUUUGAAAGUGAGUCUCGUCAUGACUUGUUCGAACACUUGUCACAUUAUUGUACAUCUUCUUGAUGAUGUAGUUUACUUUGUUGGGACUUUGUGUUUCCCCAAGGCCCAGCACACGACACUCCAUGGUAUCUUAUCAUAGGCCUCUCCAAGUCAAUGAACACCAUAUUCAUGUCCUUCUUUUGCACCUUGUAUCCCUCUAUUAGUUGUUGUACUAAGAAAAUGGCUUCCAUGGUCGACGUACUAGGCAUGAAACAAAUCUGUCUUUUUGUCACACUUUUCAUUCUUUUUAAGAGGUUGUCAAGGACUCUCUCCCAAAUAUAGCUUCACUAAAUAUCUCCUUAGCUGAAUCUUGUCUUCAGUAAAACUUUGAACAACCCCCCCCCCCCUUGUUCUCGAGGAUUGGUAUAAUAUACUCUGCCUCCUUUCUUUGGGCAUCUUGUUUGAAUGAAAGAUAGAUUGAAAAGCUUACUUUCUUUUUGAUCCAGUCAUAACCCCUUUCCAUUACUUGCAUAAUGGAAAUACAUUAGUUCAUGUCAAAGAAGGAGAUGGGAAAGGUGAGAGUGAGUUCAAAGCAUCAUCGAGAAACUCAUUGUGGAUACUCGCCAUCAAGAUACCCACUACACUAUGGAAACUUGACGACACUAUGUAGACUAUUCCUAUCAGACCAAUGUACUAUACUCGCACAUGAGAAAAAGUGACAAAUGCCAACAUAGGGAAUAAAAAAAAGUGGCAAAAGGAACUAACGAAUAGACAUAACCAAAACACAAAUGGAUCAUGUAUUAAGUAGGCCAUAAGCACUAGGAAGGCAUCAAGCAUUGCCCCCAUCUUGAAGAGGAUCGCACAUCCGCAUCAUGUUUGAAGUGUUGUCCCUUAUCAUCUUGGCGUUUAUCCUCAAUAAAAAAUAGGGCAACAUAUAGUAGCUAAACCAACUAUAUAGAAAGUACCCUUACCUAUAGGGGAAGAAAGCAAGGCAUCAAGAAUAAGUUUUCCACACAUUGUUUGGGCACAGAUCGGUACCAAACAUGCUAGUGAUGGUACACCAUACUACUCUAGUGAUCGAGAACAUGAACAAAAUAUGUUUUCAUGUCUCUUGAUCACCAAAAAAAGGAACAUUUAGAUUUCUCUUAUAGUUCCUCAUUUUCAUCACACACCUAUUAAAACAGCAUCAUGGAAAAGUUGUCGGAGGAAAAUCUGAAUUUUCAAAGAAGUUUCUCUUGCACUAUCCACCUAUAGUCAUACCAAGAUAGGUUUUCCUACCAAAGAUUGUAAACAUAGUAAUGAAGUAGAAUUUUGGUCCAAGGGAAUAUCUAGCAACAUCACCAUCAUUGAAGAUACAAAGGCUCUUGGCCAACUCUAGAAUGUAGUACCAUUGGUCACUCAGGUCAGGAUAUUUAGCCUACUUCUAGAAAAGGAGGUAGUAUUAGCUUCUAGGAACUUAUUAAUAGUACAAUCUUGAUAACUGCAUAUGUUGAGAAAUUGGGGGAACUUUUCAGCAAGAGGAAUUUUGUCCUUCAGGGAGUCCUUCUAUAAUCUUGCAAUAUCCAAAGAUUGAACAUCAGUUUUUCUAACAACAAUGUAAUAUUCUUUCACCUUAGCGAAGCUUUCCAGCUAGCUGAAUCAUUGGUUCUUGUCUCUAAUAGUAGCCAUGAUAUGUCUUUUGAAAUAAUGCACUUAUACUAUAUUUCCAUAGACCUGUUUUUUCUUCGGUGUCCACCCACACUUGUUGAGUAAACUAAUUUCUAUUUAUGUAGAUCCUUAUCCCCAAGGCCCCCCGUUUUAAAUUUCCUAGAUCGAUAAAUUUUGGACCGUUUAAUCACGUGAUACCUCUUCUUUUCUUUACUAAAUUUCGAAAAAAUAUCCUUAUUCACUUGUAUAAUGUCUUAUGAAAGCUUUAGACACCUCAGAACAUAAACAUAUAAUAGAAAGCAAUACUAGAUAGAUUCACAUUCAAUAAAGUGAGCCUACCAUCAUAGGAUGCAGUAUUUCCAAUCCAUGUGUCACAUCUUUUGAAGUAUUUGGUUUCCAUGAAAUACCACUCCACCCCCUUGAAAUAGGAGAAUCUAACAAGUACACCAAGAUAUUUUGUAGGAAAAUACCCAAUCUGGUAGUUAAAUAUAUGUGUAUAUAUUUUACGUAUCUCAUCAUCACCUCCCACAUAUAACAUUUCACUUUUUUGGAAAUUAAUGUUCAACCCGGUCAUCAUUUCAAACAUGUGGAGAAAUGAUCUAUGAUUUAGAGAUUUAUCAGGAUCAAGAUGAAUACAUAAUACUAUAUCAUAAGUAUACCGCAAACGGCUACUCCAUUUUCAAUUAGUUCAGGGGCAAGACCAAUCAGAAGUUUAUUUUACUAUGCAUUCAAAACCAUCUUAAACAAGCACUUAAAAUAUCAAAUAGUGGGUCCCCUUGCCUUACCCCGUUGUGACUUUGGAAAUAGGGCCCAAUAGUAAUAUUUAGCUUCACAAUAGUGCCAUUACACAUUAUGUAUUUCACCUAGUUGCAACAUGUAGGCCCAAACCACCCUCAUCUCAAGAUAAUCAAUUUGAAAGUCCAAGUUGACCUUGGCAUAGACUUUCUCAAAAUCAAGCUUAGUGGAAAUCCCAGUUAUUUUUCUUAAUAUAGGUAGGAUGAUGUAUUUCAUCCAGGGAGAGUAUACCAUAAGUAAUAUUUAUGUGGUCAAUAAAAGUAUAUGGGUGUACACUAAACAAGUUAUCAGUAAGCGGUGCCACCCUUCUAUCUAGGACUUUAGUAAUCAGCUUGUAGAGACAUGUAAGCAAACAUAUAGGUCUAAAUUGUUGAAUUUUCAUGGCCCUGCUUAUUUUAGGAAACAAAUUAAUACUCCCAUAGUCGAAUAUAAGAAAACUGAGGGUGCUGGCAUGAAAGGAAGCGAAUGAAUUCACAAUGAUAUCUUGCAUAAUAACACAAUGCCACAAAUAAAUCUCAAAAGAAAUGUUGUCAAGAAAAAGGGCUUUAUACUAUCGUUAUUUCUACAAGGUAUCACCACACAUCAAUGGGGAUACCAUUAGGGACAAUCACUUUGCCUCUCAUCAUCCUUUUUAAAGCCUCCCUACCCUCAAACUCCUCGAUUCGCCGCACAAAACGUCUAUUGUUAUCAUCAAAGGAGUUGUCCAGCUCAAUAGUAGAAUUAUCAUUCUCUCCAUUUAACAUCUUAUAGAAGUAUUCUCACCAUAUAUUCUUUUUGUCCUCGUACUUCAUAAGAAGCUUUUUUUCUCCAUCCUUAAUGCAUUUUACUUCGUUGGCAUCCCUUAUCUUCCUCUCUCUGAUCUUGACCUGCUUGUGAAUGUUUGUUUCUCCUUCCUUUGUUCUUAAACACAUAUAGAGGCCAUGUUGCCUCAACCACUAACUUCACCGACACAUCUCCUAUCAUUCUUAUCGACCCUCACAGGUCAAUGGAAUAUGAGAAUAAUUUCUAGAUCCACUUAUAGAAAAAAGUUAGGAACAUAAUAAUUGAACAUUGUAUUCGAGUGAGCUAAAAUCGAGUCAUUUUUUUAUUAAAAAUGUUCAUAUCAAUGUUGACUAAGAUAACUCGGAUACUUCAAUUAAUAUUGUAAUAUAAUUUGUAUGCAUCCAGUUGUCCAUGUAUGCAUCGAACAUGAAGCCAACUUGUAAAAACUCGACCUACGUACAAUGAAGCCUAGUCUAACAAGUCUAGAUUGUGCAUCUCACAUGGUAGAGCAUUCAUAACGACACCUCAUGUGUACUUGUAAAUUUUAAAGGAUGGCUUAUGUCCUUGAAAAUUAGGAAGGAAUGGUGUAUCCUCUCACUCGUUCCAAUUAUUGUAUGGAGCUUAGAGGGGAGUAGUGUCACCAACUCCUCGAAUGCAUUGAUUCACUUGUAAUUGCUUACUAAGGCCUUAUCCUCCAUGUAAUGUGUUUGAUGUAAUAUCAACGGGAUAGUGUGGAAUCAGGUUACAUGAUAGAGUAUCGGGUUGGUACGCAUAUUAGAUCAUUUAGUUCUAUGUACUUCGAAUCUUUUAUCAAUACCUCAUUAAACCCCACAUAGUUCAAACAUAUAUUUACUAGGUGAGUAUACAACAUGGAGACGACAUUUGCUAGUGCAUGACACCAUAAUAUAAAAUGGUAUCUCCCAUAUAGUUGACAACCACUUACAAUAAUGAUAUUCUAUCACAUAUGCUCUCUUCAGUCACUAAACAUAAUCAUGCCUAGACAUUGAAGCUAGUAUAUAUGGAUACAUUGAUUUUAUUUUCCAACCAUCUUUGAUAUUAAUAAUGUUACUAAGUUGGAGUAUGAGUCGGAUUUAGGGAUUGCUUCUAGCUCUACAUGAACACCCAAUUUAGUGUAGGAGUGGUUCCUAGGAAAUGGUUGUUGAAUAAGCUAUGCUUCACAUUGCCACGAUGAACCUCAUCCUACAUGAUAAGUCAUGGGUACAUUCUACUAAACAUGGCAUCCAUCCCACUUGUGUUUGAUCUCUCUUAUCUUCUCCAAUUUGUUGAAAACACCAAUUUUAGCCGCUGAAAACAUAAAUUUUUGAAAAGGCUAUAAACGUCUCUGAACAGACUUCCUUCCUCACACUCUAUCCUUGAUGUAUUUUUAGUAGGUGUUUAAUCAUCCAUCUCUGCUAUUACUCAAUGGUGCAUAUAAAACAUUGAUAAGUAAGGUAUUUUCAUACAAGGGACCUUCUAAAAUAGUAUUAAAAAAUUAGGAUUUUGUAAAAUCUAUCAAACAUUAAAUAUUGGAUGUUGUUGUUUGCACAAAUGAACAACAAAUGUUGGUCCAGUUUAGCAUACACUGAAACAAGCAUCCGGUGAACCAUGAGUGGGCUCGGUGAGGGGGUUAAUUUAUGCAUGUUGCGUGAUGUAUAAUCUCAGCAACCAAAAGUUUGGCUAGUAGUUUGAUGAUACUUUUUGAUUAACUAUAUGUGUAAUCUUUUGAAAAUUACAAUGGAGUAUGUAAACUAAUACUUAAAUCAUUUUAGUUCCAUGUAUUGUAUUGGGCAUCAAUUUUGGUAAGUUUGUCAACGAAGAUUUAAUUUGUUGCCAUUAGUUUUCCAUUUCUAAAUGCGGACACGUAAAUUGUUUCAUGUUUUCAAUGUUAUUACUUUUAUGCCCAGGUUGAAAUACACCAUACCCAUGAAAUCAUUAGUCUUUUUGAUGAGAUCAUCUAUAUUAAAGGUGCUUCUAUUCUUCAAAUGGUACAAAGCUACAUUGGAGCAGAGCGUUUUCAGGAAGCAUUGAAGAAAUAUAUACAAAAGUAUGCCUACUCAAAUGCAAAAACAGAGGACCUAUGGGUCGUUCUUGAAGAGGAAACUGGAGAGCCAUUCAAGAAUUUCAUGAGUGCGUGGACAAAGCUACCGGGAUAUACCAUAAUUAAUAUCAAACAAAUAGGGAAAGGAAUCCAAGUUGAACAGGCCCAAUUUUUGCUAGAUGGAUCCUCUCGAGAUGGCUUGUGGGAUGUGCCACUAACUUUAAGAUGCUCUUCAUCAACAAAUAAAUUCUUUUGAAACACAAGCGUGAUAACUUUGAUGUAUGUGGUGAAUGGGGGAGGGAUGGAAGUUUUUUUAUUAAGUUGAAUAUAAAUGAAACAGAGUUUUAUCGAGUGAAGUAUGACCAAGAAAUUAAAACUAGACUUCAAAACGCAUUAGAGCCUAGUGAGUUCUCUUCAAUGGAAACAAUUGGUAUGCAACAUCUUUCAUUAUUAUGAUCUAUUUUUAUAUUUGAGUGAAAGAUUACUUUAACAUUAGCUUUCCAGGAAUUUUGGAGAACUCACUUAUGCUUUCCAUGUCCCACGAAGAUACACUAGCAUCGUUCCUAUGUACAGUAUAUGCUUGUCGUGAAGUAGCUGACUACAAUGUUCUCACACACAUACAAGCUGUAUGUACAUUUUAUUUCUCCAAACAGUAUAUGAUAUUUGUUUUCUAAAUUAUAAUUCUCCAUGUAUUUUACU